CAGCAGCCGCGGGAAUACAGAGGGUGCGAGCGUUAAUCGGAUUUACUGGGCGUAAAGCGUGCGUAGGCGGCUUCUUAAGUCGGAUGUGAAAUCCCUGAGCUUAACUUAGGAAUUGCAUUCGAUACUGGGAAGCUAGAGUAUGGGAGAGGAUGGUAGAAUUCCAGGUGUAGCGGUGAAAUGCGUAGAGAUCUGGAGGAAUACCGAUGGCGAAGGCAGCCAUCUGGCCUAAUACUGACGCUGAGGUACGAAAGCAUGGGGAGCAAACAGGAUUAGAUACCCCUGUAGUCCCUGUCUCUUAUAA
This 301-nucleotide ribosomal RNA is filed under the name uncultured bacterium. Its description in RNAcentral is "partial 16S ribosomal RNA". It matches the Rfam family "Bacterial small subunit ribosomal RNA", at positions 509 to 809 of the family's 1533-position model. The record is from RNAcentral.